AUUGAACGCUGGCGGAAUGCUUUACACAUGCAAGUCGAACGGCAGCACGGGGGCAACCCUGGUGGCGAGUGGCGAACGGGUGAGUAAUAUAUCGGAACGUGCCCAGUCGUGGGGGAUAACGUAGCGAAAGUUACGCUAAUACCGCAUACGAUCUACGGAUGAAAGCGGGGGAUCGCAAGACCUCGCGCGAUUGGAGCGGCCGAUAUCAGAUUAGGUAGUUGGUGGGGUAAAGGCUCACCAAGCCAACGAUCUGUAGCUGGUCUGAGAGGACGACCAGCCACACUGGGACUGAGACACGGCCCAGACUCCUACGGGAGGCAGCAGUGGGGAAUUUUGGACAAUGGGCGCAAGCCUGAUCCAGCCAUUCCGCGUGCAGGACGAAGGCCUUCGGGUUGUAAACUGCUUUUGUACGGAACGAAAAAGCCUUGGCUAAUACCCAGGGUCCAUGACGGUACCGUAAGAAUAAGCACCGGCUAACUACGUGCCAGCAGCCGCGGUAAUACGUAGGGUGCAAGCGUUAAUCGGAAUUACUGGGCGUAAAGCGUGCGCAGGCGGUUAUAUAAGACAGAUGUGAAAUCCCCGGGCUCAACCUGGGAACUGCAUUUGUGACUGUAUAGCUAGAGUGCGGCAGAGGGGGAUGGAAUUCCGCGUGUAGCAGUGAAAUGCGUAGAUAUGCGGAGGAACACCGAUGGCGAAGGCAAUCCCCUGGGCCUGCAC
Molecule: ribosomal RNA, 717 nt
Filed under: uncultured bacterium
Lineage: Bacteria
Description: bacterial SSU rRNA
Rfam family: Bacterial small subunit ribosomal RNA
Source: RNAcentral